This 3051-nucleotide ribosomal RNA is filed under the name Deltaproteobacteria bacterium. RNAcentral's name for it is "23S ribosomal RNA". It matches the Rfam family "Bacterial large subunit ribosomal RNA". Lineage: Bacteria; Pseudomonadati; Myxococcota; Myxococcia. The record is from RNAcentral.
UGGUCAAGCUACUAAGGGCGUACGGUGGAUGCCUUGGCACCAGGAGGCGAUGAAAGGCGUGGUAGGCUGCGAUAAGCUCCGGUGAGCUGCCUAACGAGCUUCGACCCGGAGAUUCCUGAAUGGGGCAACCCAUCCCGCAGAAAGCGGGAUACUCCAAUCUGAAUACAUAGGAUUGGAGGGCGAACAGGGGGAACUGAAACAUCUAAGUACCCCUAGGAAGAGAAAGCAAUAGCGAUUCCCAAAGUAGCGGCGAGCGAAAUGGGAACAGCCCAAACCGAAUGCGUGUUCAAGCCCGUAGGUGUUGCGUAUUCGGGGUUGUGGGGUCAGACCGGAGGAGGCUACGGACUCCUCGAGAAGUUACCAAGCCGUUUCAUAGUCGAAGUCGUUGGAAAACGAGGCCAUAGAGGGUGAUAGCCCCGUAGGCGAAAUGAAACGGUCUUCUUGGGUCUGGUUCCCGAGUACCACGGGACACGUGAAACCCUGUGGGAAGCUGGAAGGACCAUCUUCCAAGGCUAAAUACUCCCUGGUGACCGAUAGUGGACCAGUACCGUGAGGGAAAGGUGAAAAGAACCCCGGUGAGGGGAGUGAAAUAGUACCUGAAACCGUACGCUUACAAACUGUGGAAGGACUAUUGGAUUUGGGGCUCGCCCCAACAUCCAAGUCUGACUGCGUGCCUUUUGCAUAAUGAGUCAGCGAGUUACUUUGUGCAGCGAGGUUAAGCCGUGAGGUGGAGCCGCAGCGAAAGCGAGUCUGAAUAGGGCGUUUAGUUGCACGGAGUAGACCCGAAACCAGGUGAUCUAUCCAUGGCCAGGGUAAAGGUGGGGUAACACUCACUGGAGGCCCGAACCCACUAAGGUUGAAAACUUAGGGGAUGAGCUGUGGAUAGGGGUGAAAGGCCAAUCAAACCUGGAGAUAGCUGGUUCUCCCCGAAAUAUAUUUAGGUAUAGCCUCACAAAUUCAGUGGCGGAGGUAGAGCACUGGAUGGGCUAGGGGUCCUACCAGACUACCAAACCCAACCAAACUCCGAAUGCCGCCAACUGUUAUUGUGGGAGUCAGACUGCGGGAGAUAACUUUCGUAGUCGAGAGGGGAACAACCCAGACCGCCAGCUAAGGUCCCCAAAUGUAUGCUUAGUGGUAAAGGAUGUGGAACUGCUAAAACAACCAGGAGGUUGGCUUAGAAGCAGCCAUCCUUUAAAGAAAGCGUAAUAGCUCACUGGUCUAGUGGGGCCGCGCCGAAAAUAUAACGGGGCUCAAGCAUACUACCGAAGCUGCGGGUUUGUUUCGCCUCGGCGGAACAGACGGUAGGGGAGCGUUCCAGUUGCCUGUGAAGGCAGACCGAAAGGACUGCUGGAGGCCCUGGAAGUGAUUAUGCUGACAUGAGUAGCGAUAAACCCUGUGGGAAACAGGGUCGCCGGAAGCCCAAGGUUUCCUGGGGAAGGUUAAUCCGCCCAGGGUGAGUCGGCCCCUAAGCCGAGGCCGAAAGGCGUAGGUGAUGGGAAACAGGUUAAUAUUCCUGUACCACCGGGUUGGCGUUUGAGCGAUGGGGGGACGUAGAAGGGUAGGCCAUCCGGGUGUUGGAUGUCCCGGUUCAAGCCAGUAGGCGGGUUCGAUAGGCAAAUCCGUCGAGCCAUUUUAAACGCCGAGAGGUGAUGAGGAUCCGCUUUGCGGAGCAAACUGGCUGAUCCCAUGCUACCAAGAAAAGCCUCUAGCGAGUCAACCAGGUGACCGUACCGCAAACCGACACAGGUGGGCAGGGAGAGAAUCCUUAGGCGCUUGAGAGAACCCUCGUUAAGGAACUCAGCAAAAUGGCACCGUAACUUCGGGAGAAGGUGUGCCCCUGUUAGGUGUAGCAAUUCGCUUGCGAAGCCGAGAGGGGUCGCAGUGACCAGGCUCUGGCGACUGUUUACUAAAAACACAGGACUCUGCGAAGUCGCAAGACGACGUAUAGGGUCUGACGCCUGCCCGGUGCUGGAAGGUUAAGGUGAAUCGUUAUUGCCCGCUCCGGCGGGUGAGAAGCGGUGACCCGAAGCCCCAGUAAACGGCGGCCGUAACUAUAACGGUCCUAAGGUAGCGAAAUUCCUUGUCGGGUAAGUUCCGACCUGCACGAAUGGCGUAACGACUGGAGCGCUGUCUCAACGAGGGACUCAGUGAAAUUGAAGUGGCGGUGAAGAUACCGUCAACCCGCGGCUAGACGGAAAGACCCCGUGCACCUUUACUACAGCUUGACAGUGAAUUUCGGUAUGGCUUGUGUAGGAUAGGUGGGAGGCUGCGAAAUCCUGCCGCCAGGUGGGAUGGAGCCAUCCUUGAAAUACCACCCUGGUUAUACUGGAGUUCUAACUCGCGGCCGUGAAUCCGGUCGGAGGACACUGUCUGGUGGGUAGUUUGACUGGGGCGGUCGCCUCCCAAAGAGUAACGGAGGCGCGCGAAGGUUCCCUCAGGCUGAUUGGAAACCAGCCGUAGAGUGCAAAGGCAUAAGGGAGCUUGACUGCGAGAGAGACAUCUCGAGCAGGUGGGAAACCAGGUCUUAGUGAUCCGGCGGUUCCGUAUGGAAGGGCCGUCGCUCAACGGAUAAAAGGUACGCCGGGGAUAACAGGCUGAUCGGGCCCAAGAGUUCACAUCGACGGCCCGGUUUGGCACCUCGAUGUCGGCUCAUCGCAUCCUGGGGCUGAAGUCGGUCCCAAGGGUUUGGCUGUUCGCCAAUUAAAGCGGUACGCGAGCUGGGUUUAGAACGUCGUGAGACAGUUCGGUCCCUAUCUACCGCGGGCGCAGGAUAUUUGAGAGGUGCUGUCCCUAGUACGAGAGGACCGGGAUGGACGAACCUCUGGUGUACCAGUUGUCGCGCCAGCGGCAUCGCUGGGUAGCUAUGUUCGGACGGGAUAACCGCUGAAAGCAUCUAAGCGGGAAGCCCACCUCAAGAUGAGAUAUCCCUUCCCGCUUCGGCGGGAACUAAAGACCCCUCGAAGACCACGAGGUUGAUAGGCCGGAGGUGUAAGUGCGGUAACGCAUUAAGCUAACCGGUACUAAUCGGUCGUGCGGCUUGACCACAAACCC